AGUGAACGCUGGCGGUAGGCCUAACACAUGCAAGUCGAACGGCAGCACAGUAAGAGCUUGCUCUUACGGGUGGCGAGUGGCGGACGGGUGAGGAAUACAUCGGAAUCUACUUUUUCGUGGGGGAUAACGUAGGGAAACUUACGCUCAUACCGCAUACGCCCUACGGGUGAAAGCAGGGGAUCUUCGGACCUUGCGCGAUUGAAUGAGCCGAUGUCGGAUUAGCUAGUUGGCGGGGUAAAGGCCCACCAAGGCGACGAUUCGUAGCUGGUCUGAGAGGAUGGUCAGCCACACUGGAACUUAGACACGGACCAGGCUCCUACGGGAGGCAGCAGUGGGGAAUAUUGGACAACGGGCGCAAGCCUUAUCCAGCCAUACCGCGUGGGUGAAGAAGGCCUUCGGGUUGUAAAGCCCUUUUGUUGGGAAAGAAAAGCAGCAGGUUAAUACCCCGCUGUUCUGACGGUACCCAAAGAAUAAGCACCGGCUAACUUCGUG
This 492-nucleotide ribosomal RNA is filed under the name uncultured bacterium. Its description in RNAcentral is "partial 16S ribosomal RNA". It matches the Rfam family "Bacterial small subunit ribosomal RNA", at positions 29 to 507 of the family's 1533-position model. The record is from RNAcentral.